UACCUGGGUUGAUUCUGCCAGUAGUCAUAUGCUCUGUCUCAAAGAUUAAGCCAUGCAUGUCUAAGUAUAAGCAACUUUGUACUGUGAAACUGCGAAUGGCUCAUUAAAUCAGUUAUAGUUUAUUUGAUGGUUUUUGCUACAUGGAUAACUGUGGUAAUUCUAGAGCUAAUACAUGCAUUCAAGCCCCGACUUCCGGAGGGGGUGUAUUUAUUAGAUAAAAAUCAACUUUGUUGGUGAAUGAUAAUAACUUCUCGGACCGCAUGGUCUCGUGCUGGCGGUGCUUCAUUCAAAUAUCUGCCCUAUCAACUGUCUAUGGUAGGAUAGAGGCCUACCAUGGUUGCGAAGGGUAACGGGGAAUAAGGGUUCGAUUCCGGAGAGGGAGCCUGAGAAACAGCUACCACGUCCAAGGAAUGCAGCAUGCGCGCAAAUUACCCAGUCCCAACACGGGGAGGUAGUGACAAUAUGUAACAAUAUACGGCCUUAUACGUCGUAUAAUUGGAAUGAGUACGAUUUAGAUCCCUUAACGAGGAACAAUUGGAGGGCAAGUCUGGUGGCAGCAGCCGCGGGAAUUCCAGCUCCAAUAGCGUAUAUUAUAGUUGUUGCAGUUAAAAAGCUCGUAGUUGGACCUUGGACCUGGACAGGUUGUCCGCCUCACGGCGAGGACUGGCUUGCUGGGUCUUUCCUCUUGGCGAUCUGCUGUUUCCGCAGCAUGGAACCAGAAGUUUUACUUUGAACAAAUUAGAGUGUCACAUCAGGCUUGACGCUCGAUUAUCAUGGCAUGGAAUAUAGAAUAGGACGUGCGGUUUAUGUUUCUGGUUUGGAAAUAGCAGUAAUGAUGAUAGUGACAGUCGUGGGCAUCAGUAGUCACAUGCAGAGGUGAAAUUCUGGAUAUGGUGAAGACUAACGUAUGCGUAAGCAUUUGCCAUGGAUGUUUUCAUGAUCAAGAAUGAAGGUUAGAGUAUCGAUCACGAUUAGAUGCCGUUGUAGUCAUAACAGUAACCUAUUCCGAAUAGGGAUCGGUCGAUGUUAUCUAUUUGACUCGAUCGGCACGAUACGAGAAAUCAAAGUUUUCGGGUUCUGAGGGGAGUAUCAUCGCAAGGCUGAAACUUAAAGAAAUUGACGGAAGGGCACCACCAGGAGUGGAGCCUGCGGUUUAAUUUGAUUCAACACGGGGAAACUCAUCAGGUCCCGACAUAGGAAGGAUGGACAGAGUGAUAGCUCUUUCUUGAUUCUAUGGGUGCAUGGUGCAUGGCCGUUCUUAGUAGGUGGAGUGAUUUGUAUGGUUAAUUCCGAUAACGAACGAGACCUUAACAUGAUAAAUAGCCCCAUCGACUAUGGUUGGUGGCUGGCUUCUUAGAGGGAGAUAUUGGCUUCCAGCCAAUGGAAGUUUGAGGCAAUAACAGGUCUGUGAUGCCCUUAGAUGUUCUGGGCCGCACGCGCGCUACACUGACGGAGCCAACGAGUACUUUCCUCGUCCGGAAGGACUGGGUAAUCUUGUGAAAAUUAGUCGUGCUGGGGAUAGAGCAUUGCAAUUAUUGCUCUUCAUCGAGGAAUUCCUAGUAAGCGUGAGUCAUCGAGCUCGCGUCGAUUACGUCCUUGCCCUUUGUACACCCCGCCCGUCGUUACUACCGAUUGAAUGGCUUAGUGAGCCUUUGGGAUUGGCGGCUCGUACCGGCUACGGUAGCGGGCCGCUGAAAACUUAUGCGAACUUGGUCUUUUGGAGGAAGUAAAAGUCGUAAC
Molecule: ribosomal RNA, 1740 nt
Filed under: uncultured fungus
Lineage: Eukaryota; Fungi
Description: SSU rRNA
Rfam family: Eukaryotic small subunit ribosomal RNA
Source: RNAcentral